UACAGAGGUGGCAAGCGUUGUUCGGAAUUACUGGGCGUAAAGGGCGCGUAGGCGGUUCGUUAAGUCCUGUGUGAAAUCCCCCGGCUCAACUGGGGAACUGCACAGGAAACUAGCGGGCUUGAGUUCGGGAGAGGGAAGCGGAAUUCCGGGUGUAGCGGUGAAAUGCGUAGAUAUCCGGAGGAACACCGGUGGCGAAGGCGGCUUCCUGGACCGACACUGACGCUGAGGCGCGAAAGCUAGGGGAACAAACGGG
This 253-nucleotide ribosomal RNA is filed under the name uncultured bacterium. Its description in RNAcentral is "partial 16S ribosomal RNA". It matches the Rfam family "Bacterial small subunit ribosomal RNA", at positions 524 to 776 of the family's 1533-position model. The record is from RNAcentral.